UCACAAUUAUUGCAUUUCUCCACCCCAGACCAGAGCUGCGUUUCUGUUCUGUGACCUUAGUGUUCCUGGGUGCUUUUUAUAUUAAAUUACAGUUUUAGUUAGAGCUAGUCAAUUUCAAACAGUGACUACUAGUGUGUAAAAGUGCACUCAUGGUUGGUAAAGAGAUCACAGAGUGAAGUAAAACCCCCAGAAAUUCACACUUGAAUUUGGAAUUUGAAUUUGGAGCUUCUUCCAGUAGGACUGAACCCCCCAGGACUGAUCUGCUGCUUGGAACAGUAUCUAACCCACAGAAUUAAAAUGAUCAAGAAAGCCCAGCAUGAUCCUCUGACCACACAUGUGUAGUCAUUCAAGGCCAAAGAUUCUCAGGAGAACUUAGUUGUACUUUAAGCUCAUCUGCAUUUUGAACAACAUUGCACCCACCUCCACCCAUCUCCUCAAUCACCUCCUUCAAUGAUUUCCAGUUAUCAAUGGUGGGGCUCGACUUCACUUUCUGUCUGAAGCAGCUCUGAACUCUUCUUUCCAUCCGUCCAUCCAUCUUCUUAUCAGCUCCCUUCAUCCUAGAGAGAAUCCUGGUGGAUCCAGAGCACACCUGGGUUACACCAA
Long non-coding RNA from Astyanax mexicanus (Mexican tetra), 603 nucleotides. RefSeq lists it as uncharacterized. The transcript has 3 exons. NCBI's taxonomy places the organism in Eukaryota, Metazoa, Chordata, Actinopteri, Characiformes, Acestrorhamphidae. The record is from RefSeq and is a predicted model, not a curated record.